Long non-coding RNA from Gadus chalcogrammus (walleye pollock), 2243 nucleotides. RefSeq lists it as uncharacterized. NCBI's taxonomy places the organism in Eukaryota, Metazoa, Chordata, Actinopteri, Gadiformes, Gadidae. The record is from RefSeq and is a predicted model, not a curated record. The transcript has 3 exons.
GUGGGGGGGAGCGUGAAUCGUGGUUUCGAGCGGCCUGGGACACUGAAGGAUGUCAUGUUCAGGCGGUAAACACCAGCUUUAUAACGAGCUCAACUCUGGCCUCCGUCCGCCCCCUUCAUCGAGCAGGUCCGACGUGAGCCUAGCCUGCGAGCUAACGCUCCGCUGCACCGUGUCCCCGACCCAUCGCUCACGUUCCGCCCGGUAAAGUUUUUAGAUCCGGUCCCUCGGACCGCUUACCCACUGAAGAAGAGCGAAGGGGGGUCUAGUCCGGAGCGGGACCUCGUGCAGGGUCCUGUUUGUUGACGUGCAGGCGGUCUUCAAUGGAGUCCACGCGCAGAGCUCGGGUCCCGUCCCCGUGGUUACAUACAUCAGCAGGGUCUCCGGCUCGUGCGUCUCAGGGGGGGCAGAGAGGAGCACAUGGGCGGGGGAAGAGACCUGGACCCCCAACGCGAACGGGAGGCGGAGGAAGCCUCCAGGCCUGGCACCGCUCUAGCAGGACGGGCCAGAGGCCGGCGCUGUCUCUUCGUUCGGGAUUACCGUCGUCUCUGGGGGCCAAGUCUAUACGGGUCAAAGGCAAACAUCCAGCCAGCGGCAGAGACCAGGGACCAGGGUUAGUGAGGAGGGGGUAGGACGGCCCUCGGGGUCUGGGGCCGGUGUGCAGACAGACGCUCAAGGACAUAUGUUGGUCAUUAACUUGUCAUGGUAUUUAGCAGAGACUUUCAUCCCUAUUGAGAUAUAGCUUGAGGCCCUUUGGGAGCAUAAAGAGGUUAGUUUAACAGCUCAUGCUAACAUACAGCUUGAAUAUGGACAUUGGAGUUGAAGUGUGUAGUCUGGUGGUGAGUAUGUGGUGAUCUGUAGGGAUAAGUAUUGUGUGGUUCUCCUUAGAAGGGACAGGGACAAGCAGGUACACUAGAUGUUACAUCUGUUGGGAUCUCGGCUGAGCAGCAGUAAGAGUCUGGGAGGAUUACGUUGCUUCAUUCUUCUCACGUCGCUGAUCCUGUCAGGAACCGAGUAUUACUGGAUAAGAAGAUAUUAAAUAGCAUGCAGACAUAAUUUGUUUUCUCCCAUGACCACGUCCCCCCAAUUUGAUAUUGCAAAUACGUAACAUGCCACAAAAGACUGAAGAAAAGGUAUUCAUGUUUAUAUUAGCUUUAUUAAAUAAUGUGACAGCCUCCAUAAUCCAAUGUUGUUUUACAAAUGAACCAUAACGCUGUGAUUUGCUACAUGGAUUGAACUGGGUUGCGUCAUAUAGAGAAGUGGUGAUAUAAUUGAGAACCUAUUUUUAUCCAUCUUUAAAAUAGUUUCACAAACCGAGAUGUUAUCAGUGAUUUACAUUGCAUGUUUUUGUCCACUUGUUUGGGGUUUUGGCUUUGAGACCCAUGCCUCACAGGUACAAAGCCUGUGUGAUAUAUUUAUGUUGGACACAUUAUUCUGUUGGCUAAUACCUUUCUCUUAAUGACACAUCAUAUUGUAAAACCAAUUCUUCCUACAGCCACACAACAUGUACAAAAGAGUUUUUCCCACAGCAAAAUAAAGCAAAGCUGAAUGUCUCUUCACAUGCCCAGAGUUGAGUAGCUCCCCAGGUCUUCCCUUUUCAAGAUAUUGAUCAAGAUGCUAACAGGGUUUCAAGAUGAGUUGCUGUUUGAACAACAUGACUUGAACCAGACAAGAGCAGCAACAACAGCGGUGUCUGAGCGGGCGGCAGUCCGUUCCUCAGCUGACAGACCAGUGGUCACUUCAGCAAGAUGCAGCUUUAACAGUAGCUGCUGUGUGGUAGCCAACAUGUGGCCUCGAAUCGGAGUACAUUAGAGAUAUGAAACACUGUAUGCAACAGGGUGUUAACACUGUUGUUCCGAAUUAGUCUGAUGAUGGAUAACUGACCCACUUCAGCCUUUAAAUCGUGCUGAGUCACACUGCUAUGAAACACAAUAGGAAAUGACACACAUUUCCUUGUUGCCAGAUAAAUAAAUCAGCUAAGGUUGGGGUUCAUAGAGUGGUAGCAAGCAGUGAUUUAGCUAGCUCAGAUAUUGCAAUAUUAAUUAAUAGCAUAAAGGAAAGAUUAUUUUUAAAAAGCAAGGAUACAAAUAAAUAAAAAAUGUCUGGAUUGUCAGUGGUUGUAAAUUAUUGUACAAUUACCAUUACAAUUAGGGCAUUUAGCAGACGCUUUUAUCCAAAGCGACUUACAUCGGUUAAUGCAAACAUUGACACACCGAUGGCAGAGUCAACCAUGCAAGGCGACAGCC